RNAcentral lists this ribosomal RNA (400 nucleotides) under uncultured bacterium. RNAcentral's name for it is "bacterial SSU rRNA". It matches the Rfam family "Bacterial small subunit ribosomal RNA", at positions 355 to 769 of the family's 1533-position model. The record is from RNAcentral.
UGGGGAAUUUUCCGCAAUGGGCGAAAGCCUGACGGAGCAACGCCGCGUGAGGGAGGAAGGCUCUUGGGUUGUAAACCUCUUUUCUCAAGGAAGAAGAAAGUGACGGUACUUGAGGAAUCAGCCUCGGCUAACUCCGUGCCAGCAGCCGCGGUAAUACGGAGGAGGCAAGCGUUAUCCGGAAUUAUUGGGCGUAAAGAGUCCGUAGGUGGCCAUUCAAGUCUGCUGUCAAAGCGUGGAGCUUAACUCCAUUCCGGCAGUGGAAACUGAGUAGCUAGAGUUCGGUAGGGGUAGCGGGAAUUCCCAGUGUAGCGGUGAAAUGCGUAGAGAUUGGGAAGAACAUCGGUGGCGAAAGCGCGCUACUGGGCCGAAACUGACACUGAGGGACGAAAGCUAGGGGAGC